GACUGGUUCAAGUGGUGUUUACAACUAAUUGAUCACAACCAGUUACGGAUUUCUUUGUUCCUUCUCCACUCUCACUGCUUCACUUGACUAGCCUUAA
This 97-nucleotide Y RNA is filed under the name Theropithecus gelada (gelada). RNAcentral describes it as "Y RNA (ENSTGEG00000025273.1)". It matches the Rfam family "Y RNA". Rfam says of the family: Y RNAs are components of the Ro ribonucleoprotein particle (Ro RNP), in association with Ro60 and La proteins. The Y RNAs and Ro60 and La proteins are well conserved, but the function of the Ro RNP is not known. Lineage: Eukaryota; Metazoa; Chordata; Mammalia; Primates; Cercopithecidae. The record is from Rfam by way of RNAcentral.